This 440-nucleotide ribosomal RNA is filed under the name uncultured bacterium. RNAcentral describes it as "partial 16S ribosomal RNA". It matches the Rfam family "Bacterial small subunit ribosomal RNA", at positions 338 to 795 of the family's 1533-position model. The record is from RNAcentral.
CCUACGGGUGGCUGCAGUGGGGAAUAUUGCACAAUGGGGGAAACCCUGAUGCAGCGACGCCGCGUGAGUGAAGAAGUAAUUCGUUAUGUAAAGCUCUAUCAGCAGGGAAGAAAAUGACGGUACCUGAGUAAGAAGCCCCGGCUAACUACGUGCCAGCAGCCGCGGUAAUACGGAGGGGGCCAGCGUUAUCCGGAUUUACUGGGUGUAAAGGGAGCGUAGACGGUGCAGCAAGUCUGAUGUGAAAGGUCGGGGCCCAACCCCGGGACUGCAUUGGAAACUGUUGAACUGGAGUACAGUAGAGGUAAGCGGAAUUCCUAGUGUAGCGGUGAAAUGCGUAGAUAUUAGGAGGAACACCAGUGGCGAAGGCAGCUUACUGGACUGUAACUGACGUUGAGGCUCGAAAGCGUGGGGAGCAAACAGGAUUAGAUACCCGGGUAGUC